RNAcentral lists this ribosomal RNA (805 nucleotides) under uncultured bacterium. RNAcentral's name for it is "bacterial SSU rRNA". It matches the Rfam family "Bacterial small subunit ribosomal RNA", at positions 8 to 807 of the family's 1533-position model. The record is from RNAcentral.
AGAGUUUGAUCCUGGCUCAGGAUGAACGCUGGCGGCGUGCCUAACACAUGCAAGUCGAACGGAUCCAUACUGAAACCUAGUGAUGUAUGGAUUAGUGGCGGACGGGUGAGUAACGCGUGGAUAACCUGCCGUAUACAGGGGGAUAACACUUAGAAAUAGGUGCUAAUACCGCAUAAGCGCACGGUUCCGCAUGGAACAGUGUGAAAAACUCCGGUGGUAUACGAUGGAUCCGCGUCUGAUUAGCCAGUUGGCGGGGUAACGGCCCACCAAAGCGACGAUCAGUAGCCGGCCUGAGAGGGUGAACGGCCACAUUGGGACUGAGACACGGCCCAAACUCCUACGGGAGGCAGCAGUGGGGAAUAUUGCACAAUGGGGGAAACCCUGAUGCAGCGACGCCGCGUGAGUGAAGAAGUAUUUCGGUACGUAAAGCUCUAUCAGCAGGGAAGAAAAAAAGUCCUUUGGACUUUGGACGGUACCUGACCAAGAAGCCCCGGCUAACUACGUGCCAGCAGCCGCGGUAAUACGUAGGGGGCAAGCGUUAUCCGGAUUUACUGGGUGUAAAGGGAGCGUAGACGGCAGCGCAAGUCUGGAGUGAAAUGCCGGGGCUCAACCCCGGAACUGCUUUGGAAACUGUGCGGCUCGAGUGCAGGAGAGGUAAGCGGAAUUCCUAGUGUAGCGGUGAAAUGCGUAGAUAUUAGGAGGAACACCAGUGGCGAAGGCGGCUUACUGGACUGUAACUGACGUUGAGGCUCGAAAGCGUGGGGAGCAAACAGGAUUAGAUACCCUGGUAGUCCACGCCGUAAAC